RNAcentral lists this long non-coding RNA (235 nucleotides) under Mytilus galloprovincialis (Mediterranean mussel). Lineage: Eukaryota; Metazoa; Mollusca; Bivalvia; Mytilida; Mytilidae. The record is from RNAcentral.
UGUGCAUUUGUACAAAAAUUGUUUCAUCUCUUUAAAAAUCCCUUGUGGUUUGGAUAUGAAUAAGUGGCACUUUUUUCUGAGGGUAUGAUAAAAUUGUGAAUGGAAAUGGUGAAUGUGUCAAAACACACGCCUUGACCAAAGAGUAAAAACAACAGAAGGCCACCAAUGGGUCUUCAACAAAGUGAGAAAAAAAUCAAGCACCUGAAGGCGUGUUUCAGCUGGCCCCUUAACAAAA